AAUAAAAUUCUGUUUCAUAAAUCCAUUGAUGCCUCAAGUGUUUGUAAUUGUACAACCUUCACUCAAUGCCCUAAGGAAAUAGAUUCAAGAAAGUAUUAUUGUCAUUCACAUUGCAAUCCAAAGCCUUUCUUGAUCUAUCAUUUCAAUUGUGUUGGAAAUACAAUACCUAGCUUAGUAGCCAACCUUUGCUAUCCCAGAAAUACAUAACAGGGAGACGUUACGUUUUGAAAUACCUUCAAAAACCAAGUAAACAACAAUCGUCAACUAAAGAACUCUAAAACUGAGUGCAAAAAUAGAAAUUAGCGAGCUAUAAAUUAAAAGAUACUUAUGUUUCAGUAAUUUGAAUAAACUACAGUAUCAUUGUUUUAUGCCUUAUUGCGAUUGUCAUAGUAGCUAUUUCAAAUAUAUUUUUUCCACAUUUUUCAAUGAAGAGAGCAGUCACAAAGUGAACGCCAAGUAAAUAAUUGUUGAAAGCUUAGAACAACAUUUUUCAAAUGAAGUAACUAUCCGUGCAAUAAACUAAAAAUAACUUAAACAAUCAAGUAAGUGAUAGAUUAAAGAUAAGAACUUCAUGUUUCCUAAAGCGAGUAACUUCCAAUAGCACAUUGUAUAAAUGCAGGGGUAAUUUAGGAUGGUAUGUAGUCAAAAGAUGUUGCUAGAUUAUAGGUAUGCCACACACAUAGAGUUUAAUUUGAUGGGAGAUUCUGACAUAAGGUGUGUAAAAAGAAUGCAGUAAAGUGAACUAAAAUGCCAUCCAACGGACAGGGAAAGAUAACUGGUGAUCAUAAUUCUGUAAUCUGUGGUCUUUCUGACCUACACUUUCAUCUCUGUUUUGUGUAUAGAGUUGUAAAGAUGGCUAAUUAUUUAUUUGUUUUCUCUUCAUGGUUUAUUUUGAAACUUGUGCUCAAGUCAAGUGUACUAAUCUUAAUUAUUUUGGUAAUAUAAUACUCUAGUGAAAUAGAAAUCUUACACAGGAGAGAAAGUUGAGAUUGCAUAUUCAGGUUGAUGACACUGAAUGCUGUUUAUGUGAUGAAAAAGUAAUGGAGACUAAUGUUCACCUAUUCGAGAAAUGCAAAUGGACAUCAGCUGUGUGGUAAGCUAUGCACCAUUGGACUGAAAUACCAGUGCAGAAUAUUGGUAUCAUGAAGGUCUAGGAAAACAUAAAAGGUAAUCACUGGAAGCAAUUUAAAAAGGAGAUCAUGGCAGCUAUCUGUGGAGAUAUCAUAUACCACACUUGGCGUGCCAGGAAAUGGAGGAGGUUUAAGGACAAGCGUGUACAUACGGAGGAGGCAGUAACACAGAUAAAUAAGGAAAUCAUUGAAAGAUUACACUUAGUAGUUCAAAGAGCAAAAAAGUGUAGACACUUUAUUCAACAUUUGUUAUGUAAUUGGUUUUAUGUUUGGUAGGAGGCCUGUUCUCUCUUAUCAGAAUUAGGUGCUCUUUAUUUGUAUCCGUUCUUGGGUGGUUAUGGUAAUAUUUUACAGUUGUUACUAUAAAAGAAAAAAAUAAAAAUCUUCACUUGCAGAACCAUUCAGGUAAUUUAAGAAAGGAAAUUAUACAACAUGUUAUAAAAACAAAAUUAAAUGACAGCACAUCUAAAUUCUUAUCCUUUAAUGUUAAAUUCUUAACUUCAUGAAUUCUCUUUUGAUGUCAUAAGUUUUUAGUGUGAUUUUCAGGCCUUCAGAUCACAAAAAGAGACAUAUGAAGUGAUUCACUUUCAGUAUGACGACAACAAAUAAUUAAAUAAACACAACAUAUUAUGAUAUAGCUUUUUGCUCAAAACUCACAUUAUGUAAAAAGUAAAUAGAAGAAAACCAAAAAUAACACAAAAGAAAAUAAAGAGCAAAUGGUGGAGAUACUGAAAGGAAAAUCAAAGGGAAUAAAUGGAACUUGGAUAUAGAUAAUUGGAAGCAGAAUAUCAGUGUCAUAUAUAAAUUCCACAAGAAAUAUUUAGGAAAGAAAGAAAUCUUAAAAGAGAUAUAAACACCAAAUUUAUCUAUUAAUUGUAUAGAAAAUUAAUUGACAAUCAAAUUCGAUCAUAGCAGAUAACCAACACACACAACAACAGCCUGUGAUUAUACAAUAAAAGAUAUCCUCAUUAGAAUUGAAUCAACUAAUAAAACAAUUCUCUAAAAUAUAUCUUCAUAAAUAACUCAAAACUAAACUAAUGCUCAAGAACUUCAAUUACAAGAAUCUUAAGUACAUUUAAUCCUACAUCUUUGUCACUUGAAACUGAAGGGCUAAAAUUGUACAAAACGAACCUCAUGAAGAUGAGCCAAAAAAUGCUAGGAUCACUCACGAGUCACGACCAUUUGACUCAUCAGCAGUCAGCCAUGCCUACAUAAUGUCAAAAAUAGCAAAUUUGCUUGUACUGGGAAGCUUGUAAUAAAAAAGCUUCAACCAAUGUACCUUCAGGGUUUAUGAAAGUGGCGGGUGCAAGAUUUUUAUUUUUUUUUCGUUGAUAAGCUCCUGAGACUGGAACCUUGAGGAGGAAAAAUAAUUUGAUUUUUGGUAUCAAAUGAGGUUCAGAGAUGGAUGCCCAACGUCAAUCUAUCGACAACAAUGGUAGUGACCCGGAGCUUAACACAAAUUUGUUGCUUUUGUUCCCCAUUGUUGUUUGACAGAGAGAGCUUGAGCCAUGCCUCCCUAAUCGUUAUUAUAAUCCCAUAAAAACUAUAGAUAUAGUCAUAUAGGAUUCGGUUCUUGAAUACACUGGAACAGAUACAAAAAUAGAUUCAGUGAUCUGUCUGUUCUUAAAUUUUUUCCCAAAACUCUAGCCCUUUCUCUAUGUUGAGGAUUUGAAAAGAAUUUUAAGAGGAUUAAAGCAAAAAUUGAGAGAAAUAAAUUACCUGCAAUUAAAAUACCCAGUUAAGAAUGAACUCAAAGUUUGUACUUUGCUGAGUAGAGCAUCGGCAUUGUUAAUUGUAAGCAAAGAAGAGCGUAGAAGAGUGUAGAAGAAAGGAUUGGAAAACAAAAUGCCAUUAGAAUAUAAUAAAAAUUGGUAAGCAAAGAGGAGCGU
This 3019-nucleotide long non-coding RNA is filed under the name Solanum tuberosum (potato). Its description in RNAcentral is "long non-coding RNA (STUB_LNC009805)". The record is from RNAcentral. Lineage: Eukaryota; Viridiplantae; Streptophyta; Magnoliopsida; Solanales; Solanaceae.